UGGGGAAUAUUGGACAAUGGGCGAAAGCCUGAUCCAGCGACGCCGCGUGGGUGAAGAAGGCCUGCGGGUUGUAAAGCCCUUUCGGUGGGGAAGAAAAGCCUCGACCUAACACGUCGGGGUCUUGACGUAACCCAAGAAAGAAGCACCGGCUAACUCUGUGCCAGCAGCCGCGGUAAUACAGAGGGUGCGAGCGUUAAUCGGAAUUACUGGGCGUAAAGCGCGCGUAGGCGGCUUUGCAAGUCGGGUGUGAAAUCCCCAGGCUUAACCUGGGAACUGCUCUCGAGACUGCAUAGCUAGAGUAUGGGAGAGGGAAGUGGAAUUUCAGGUGUAGCGGUGAAAUGCGUAGAUAUCUGAAGGAACAUCAGUGGCGAAAGCGACUUCCUGGACCAAUACUGACGCUCAUGUGCGAAAGCGUGGGGAGCAAACAGGAUUAGAUACCCUGGUAGUCCACGCCAUAAACGAUGACAACUGGAUGUCGGGAGGGUCUGCCUCUCGGUGUCGUAGCUAAC
Molecule: ribosomal RNA, 509 nt
Filed under: uncultured bacterium
Lineage: Bacteria
Description: bacterial SSU rRNA
Rfam family: Bacterial small subunit ribosomal RNA
Source: RNAcentral